Molecule: ribosomal RNA, 35 nt
Filed under: Unedogemmula deshayesii
Lineage: Eukaryota; Metazoa; Mollusca; Gastropoda; Neogastropoda; Turridae
Description: partial 5.8S rRNA
Source: RNAcentral
AUUACUCUAAGCGGUGGAUCACUCGGCUCGUGUGU